UGGGGAAUAUUGGACAAUGGGCGCAAGCCUGAUCCAGCCAUGCCGCGUGAGUGAAGAAGGCCCUAGGGUUGUAAAGCUCUUUCAACGGUGAAGAUGAUGACAGUAGCCGUAGAAGAAGCCCCGGCUAACUCCGUGCCAGCAGCCGCGGUAAUACGGAGGGGGCAAGCGUUGUUCGGAAUUACUGGGCGUAAAGGGCGCGUAGGCGGUCUGUUGCGUCAGGUGUGAAAGCCCCGGGCUCAACCUGGGAGGUGCACUUGAUACGGGCGGACUGGAAUCCGAGAGAGGAUGGUGGAAUUCCCAGUGUAGAGGUGAAAUUCGUAGAUAUUGGGAAGAACACCGAUGCGAAGGCAGCCAUCUGGCUCGGUAUUGACGCUGAGGCGCGAAAGCGUGGGGAGCAAAACAGGAUUAGAUACCCUGGUAGUCCACGCCGUAAACGAUGUGUGCUAGCCGUCGGUCAGCUUGCUGUUCGGUGGCGCCGCUAACGCAUUAAGCACACCGCCUGGGAGUACGGCCGCAAGGUUAAAACUCAAAUGAAUUGA
Molecule: ribosomal RNA, 539 nt
Filed under: uncultured bacterium
Lineage: Bacteria
Description: bacterial SSU rRNA
Rfam family: Bacterial small subunit ribosomal RNA
Source: RNAcentral